UCGUACAUAUAAACGUGGAUUGCAUUUAUUUCAUUAAUAAUACUUGUACAUGGGAUCAUAUUUCAUAGCUAAAAGCAAGGAAAAAGAAAAAAAAAAAGAAAAAAAAAAGAGACAAAUUAAGUUAUACAAUCUUGCAGCCAACUUGUACUGCCUGAGAAUUAAGCAUUGAGUUAAUUCCUCCAAUCUGCAUCUUCCUUCCAAAAUACCCAAGAACCAGUCCA
This 221-nucleotide long non-coding RNA is filed under the name Gossypium barbadense (sea-island cotton). RNAcentral describes it as "long non-coding RNA (GBAR_LNC006660)". The record is from RNAcentral. Lineage: Eukaryota; Viridiplantae; Streptophyta; Magnoliopsida; Malvales; Malvaceae.